CAACCCUUAAGCCUCAGUUGCUUAGCGUUGGGACUCUACGACCUAUUAUAGCGUAGUUCCUUAAAGGUAGUGGCGGAGUUAUAGCACACUCUAAGCGUAGUAAUUCUCUCUCGCUUCUUGUAGUGGCUAUAAUUGCUAGCCAUAAAACACCCCCUAUUUUAAU
Molecule: unclassified non-coding RNA, 163 nt
Filed under: uncultured Hypoxylon
Lineage: Eukaryota; Fungi; Ascomycota; Sordariomycetes; Xylariales; Xylariaceae
Description: sequence contains ITS2
Source: RNAcentral